UUACUUGACUGUUGGCUGUUGUGUCGAAUAGAGGUACCAUAUAGAAUGGCGGAUGAUUUCAUCCAAAUGAUUUUAUAACAUCAAGCAAUUUAAAGUAAAGUAAAAAGUUACCAGCAAGGGUUGUCGAGUUAGGGAGACAUGUGUGUGACAACUCCCGUUGGAGCCUAAUAGGAAUCAUUCGCCAUUUGGGAGAAAUCCUACCAUGAAGUCAUAGACCUUAUUUGACCACCUAGAGAAACCACUACAGCCACAGUCAAGUCAUCAUGGGAGUAUGUCGAUUUGGGAACAAGCUAUGGGAGCGUUCCAGCUCAAUUUUCGUCUUGGCACCUGGGCCUACAGGAGUCAUGGGGUCGCACCAUCCUGGUGCAUCAUUUUCUAGGAUGCAACCGCAACCUCGUUUGGGAACAUUUAGUGAGGUGUUGUAGUAACUAUUGGUUUUUUUAUAUUUCAGACUAUCUGUUAAAUACACUGUUUUUUUUUUCCAGAUUUAGGUUACCUCUGGUUUUUUUUUGACAUAUUUGUAUAUUAGAUUAUUUGGUUCCCAAACUUUGUAUCUACGGUAACUUCUUGUGCACAGGAAUAAGCCUAGAGAAAAUUAGGUUUUUAAUACUUUAUUAUUGCUUUGAUAUUGGUUUAUGUAAUUCGGGUAAAUUUAUUUUGUAAUAUUACUAGCUUGUUUCCCAAAUAUUUUACUGUUAUUCGCUUUAUUCCAUUUGUUCAGUUAAUUUAGGUCAUCGUCGGUAUUUAUCUCAACUUCAUUUCUACUUUAGUCAAUUGUAUAUUUAACUUUAUUUAUUCAUUAUUGUAUUUUCCCUUAGUGAGGCUUGGGCCUAUUUAUUUGUAUUAUUUUCAUCUUUGUCGGUUUCAAUUCAGUUGUACGUAGCAGGCGUACUAUAACCAUUUGGUAGAAGACUUAUGUAAUUUUGUACCCUAUAUGUUAGUGAAAGGUACUUAUACCUGUAAUUUUGUAACAGGUAACAUUGUUGUUAUCUUAGGUUGAACAUAACUUUUGCAAACUUUUGUCAUGUUAGAGUCACAUAAUAUGAACUUGUUUAACUCAGAGAUUGUUAAAAAUCUGGUAGUUCAUUUUAAUAAAUGUUUAUUUAUUUUGUA
This 1113-nucleotide long non-coding RNA is filed under the name Diabrotica virgifera virgifera (western corn rootworm). Its description in RNAcentral is "uncharacterized LOC126886495". The record is from RNAcentral. Lineage: Eukaryota; Metazoa; Arthropoda; Insecta; Coleoptera; Chrysomelidae.